AGGCUAUCCAUGGACAAACCCGCACCAUUUUCACACCCACCUCUUCGCGACGCCGUAGCAUUGCCACUGCCGGUGCCUUAUGGGUUUCACUGUGAAAAAUUAAGAGCUUUCAAGAUGGGACCAUGGACAACUGUUAAAGCCCUCUGUGGCAGAUGUGGCAGGAUCUGAAUGGGGCAAACUCCUGUGCACAGCUGGGCAAGGCUACCCUUUGUGAUAUCUACUGG
Molecule: long non-coding RNA, 224 nt
Organism: Rhea pennata
Lineage: Eukaryota; Metazoa; Chordata; Aves; Rheiformes; Rheidae
Exons: 3
Source: RefSeq, a predicted model, not a curated record